CGUGUUGUGGUCUGUGAUGUAUCUCUGUGUCUGAUGAAAACAUGAGGUCACUCAGCAGUAUUCGUCACUACCACUGAGACCACAGCCUU
Small nucleolar RNA from Myripristis murdjan (pinecone soldierfish), 89 nucleotides. Ensembl annotates it as small nucleolar RNA SNORD70. NCBI's taxonomy places the organism in Eukaryota, Metazoa, Chordata, Actinopteri, Holocentriformes, Holocentridae. The record is from Ensembl.